GCCCGAUUAGUUCAGCUGGAUAGAAUGUCUGCCUACGGAGCAGAUGGUCGUAGGUUCGUAUCCUGCAUCGGGUA
RNAcentral lists this transfer RNA (74 nucleotides) under Perkinsus marinus ATCC 50983. It matches the Rfam family "tRNA". Rfam says of the family: Transfer RNA (tRNA) molecules are approximately 80 nucleotides in length. The record is from Rfam by way of RNAcentral. Lineage: Eukaryota; Perkinsozoa; Perkinsida; Perkinsidae.